AUUGAACGCUGGCGGCAUGCUUUACACAUGCAAGUCGAACGGUAACAGGCCGCAAGGUGCUGACGAGUGGCGAACGGGUGAGUAAUGCAUCGGAACGUGCCCAGCCGUGGGGGAUAACUACUCGAAAGAGUAGCUAAUACCGCAUACGAUCUAUGGAUGAAAGCGGGGGACCGUAAGGCCUCGCGCGAUCGGAGCGGCCGAUGUGAGAUUAGGUAGUUGGUGGGGUAAAGGCUCACCAAGCCAACGAUCUGUAGCUGGUCUGAGAGGACGACCAGCCACACUGGGACUGAGACACGGCCCAGACUCCUACGGGAGGCAGCAGUGGGGAACUGUGGACAAUGGGCGCAAGCCUGAUCCAGCAAUGGCGCGUGCAGGAAGAAGGCCUUCGGGUUGUAAACUGCUUUUGUACGGAACGAAACGGCUCUGGUUAAUACCCGGGGCUAAUGACGGUACCGUAAGAAUAAGCACCGGCUAACUACGUG
Molecule: ribosomal RNA, 482 nt
Filed under: uncultured bacterium
Lineage: Bacteria
Description: partial 16S ribosomal RNA
Rfam family: Bacterial small subunit ribosomal RNA
Source: RNAcentral